GUUAAUCCCAAACAAUUUGUGUUGCUGUUUUUAAGGGUCCAUUGAACGGACUGAAGCCCCACCAAGUGACGCAGCCUGCUCCUUCUGAUGGCCGCCCGGCGCUCAUUCUGUCUUGUGGGGGUUUAAACUCGAUUCCAACUCGACGGAGGGAACCCAGAAGUAAACACAUUGAUGACGACGUUACAG
Nerophis lumbriciformis (worm pipefish) is the source of this 186-nucleotide long non-coding RNA. RefSeq lists it as uncharacterized. The record is from RefSeq and is a predicted model, not a curated record. Lineage: Eukaryota; Metazoa; Chordata; Actinopteri; Syngnathiformes; Syngnathidae.